RNAcentral lists this ribosomal RNA (691 nucleotides) under uncultured Hyphomicrobiales bacterium. Its description in RNAcentral is "bacterial SSU rRNA". It matches the Rfam family "Bacterial small subunit ribosomal RNA", at positions 38 to 757 of the family's 1533-position model. The record is from RNAcentral. Lineage: Bacteria; Pseudomonadati; Pseudomonadota; Alphaproteobacteria; Hyphomicrobiales.
GGNGGCAGGCCUAACACAUGCAAGUCGAACGGAGUUAUAUUGCAGCUUGCUAUGGUAUAACUUAGUGGCAGACGGGUGAGUAAUGUAUAGGAAUCUACCUAGUAGUACGGAAUAAUUGUUGGAAACGGCAACUAAUACCGUAUACGCCCUACGGGGGAAAAAUUUAUUGCUAUUAGAUGAGCCUAUAUUAGAUUAGUUAGUUGGUGAGGUAAAGGCUUACCAAGACAACGAUCUAUAGCUGAUCUGAGAGGAUGAUCAGCCACACUGGAACUGAGAUACGGUCCAGACUCCUACGGGAGGCAGCAGUGGGGAAUAUUGGACAAUGGGCGAAAGCCUGAUCCAGCCAUGCCGCAUGAGUGAAGAAGGCCUUCGGGUUGUAAAGCUCUUUUAGUGAGGAAGAUAAUGACGGUACUCACAGAAGAAGUCCUGGCUAACUCCGUGCCAGCAGCCGCGGUAAUACGGAGAGGGCUAGCGUUAUUCGGAAUCAUUGGGCGUAAAGGGCGCGUAGGCGGGUUAGUAAGUUAAAAGUGAAAUCCCAAGGCUCAACCUUGGAACUGCUUUUAAAACUGCUAGUCUAGAGAUUGAAAGAGGAUAGAGGAAUUCCUAGUGUAGAGAUGAAAUUCGUAAAUAUUAGGAGGAACACCAGUGGCGAANGCGUCUAUCUGGUUCAAAUCUGACGCUGANGCGCGAA